RNAcentral lists this ribozyme (74 nucleotides) under Crocodylus porosus (Australian saltwater crocodile). Its description in RNAcentral is "Mammalian CPEB3 ribozyme (ENSCPRG00005011750.1)". It matches the Rfam family "Mammalian CPEB3 ribozyme". From Rfam's summary of the family: The mammalian CPEB3 ribozyme is a self cleaving RNA located in the second intron of the CPEB3 gene which belongs to a family of genes regulating messenger RNA polyadenylation. Lineage: Eukaryota; Metazoa; Chordata; Crocodylia; Crocodylidae. The record is from Rfam by way of RNAcentral.
AAAUUUCAACUGCCAUAACAAAAGUGUUUGUACCAUGGCCCCUGUCAGAUUCCAACAAAUCUGCAAAUUCUGCU